CCCGCCUGCCCUGUGACCCCUGUGUUUAACGGCCGCGGUAUUUUGACCGUGCSAAGGUAGCGCAAUCACUUGUCUUUUAAAUGGAGACCUGUAUGAAUGGCAUAACGAGGGCUAAUCUGUCUCCUCUUUCCAGUCAAUGAAAUUGAUCUGUUCGUGCAGAAGCGAGCAUAAAAACAUAAGACGAGAAGACCCUAUGGAGCUUCAGACACCAGAAUAGCCUGCGUCAAAAAACCUUAAUUAAAAAGACAAACCAAACAGCCCCUAUUCUAUUGUCUUUGGUUGGGGCGACCGCGGGGUAAAAAAUAACCCCCACGUGGAACAAGGAUAAAACCUUUAAAACCAGGGCCACAGCCCUAAUAAACAGAACAUCUGACCAACAAGAUCCGGCACCGCCGAUCAACGGAACCAGUUACCCUAGGGAUAACAGCGCAAUCCUCUUUUAGAGCCCAUAUCGACAAGGGGGUUUACGACCUCGAUGUUGGAUCAGGAUAUCCUAAUGGUGCAGCCGCUAUUAAGGGUUCGUUUGUUCAACGAUUAAAAUCC
This 543-nucleotide ribosomal RNA is filed under the name Gobiomorphus coxii (Cox's gudgeon). Its description in RNAcentral is "partial large subunit ribosomal RNA". Lineage: Eukaryota; Metazoa; Chordata; Actinopteri; Gobiiformes; Eleotridae. The record is from RNAcentral.